Molecule: long non-coding RNA, 1825 nt
Organism: Lemur catta (Ring-tailed lemur)
Lineage: Eukaryota; Metazoa; Chordata; Mammalia; Primates; Lemuridae
Exons: 11
Source: RefSeq, a predicted model, not a curated record
GAAACCUACCCUGAGGUUAAUCGUCGGCCGCAGAGUUGACUUCGAGGGAUGAGGAAAUGCGAUGCGCAGGCCUGGCUUCCGGAGCAGUGGGAGACUCUCUGCGUGGCAGGCUGCUGGGACUUGGAGGAUGCCCACAUGAAACCAUUAUCAAAGACAAAAUUUUGAGUUGAGAUCAUAUUCAAGCAAUGAAAUGGUAUUUUGUCCCUUUCUAAAGAGGAACGAGGCUCCUUUGAUGUGAAAGAGACUGGUUUUGGACUUAAGAAUUAAUUAAGGGACAAAAUUCGAAGGAGCCUGGAGCGCUGGUGCCGGCCCAGUGUCAUCUCAGCCAUCGUGAGACUCCAGGGGAGUUCUGGGGUCCUGUCACCCUGAAGGACUCUGGGAUGGGGCUGCCGUGCUCCAGGCUGCGUGUGAGCAGGACGUGAGGACCAGGUGGAAGGAUGAGGAGGGAGCGGGAGCAGUUACAGCCCCGGACAAAGAUCCGAGAGACACUUACCUGCCGGAUUGGCGUGCGCAGAAACUGAAGAGUCACAUUUAAUCAGAUUUUCUUCCUUUGACGUGAGACUACAGGUGGACUCGAGGGAGUUUUCCAGUGUGUGGAACAUGGGAAGUGAUCUGAUAUUUGAGAUCAACAGAACAGUGAGAUCAAGUACUGUGUUUUGUCCUGGAGCAAAACAUGAUGCCAGCCUGAUGUUCAGUGUCUCACAUGUUAAAAGUUCUGUGGCCAUGUUAGAACCUUUUGUGGGUCACUCUGCAACCAUGUGACACGGAACAUGAGCUCUCUUUCCCCAAGGCGGGGCACCUGCUUUUGUCCCUAGAGAGCCAGAGGUCCCUCACUAUCUACCCAAGUGGUGCAGCAUUCUGGUGUCUGCAGCAGCAAAUAUUUAUGAAGCACUUAAUGUAUGCAAGAUCAGCAGAGUGGUCAUGGAAUUUCCUUUCUUACCUUUCCCAUGAUCAGUACAGCUGUCAUGGAGACAGGCAGCUGUUGGUGGCCACACCACCCUGAAGGCGCCAAUCGCAUCUGAUCUCAGAAGCUAAGCAGGGUCGGGCCUGAUGAGAACUUCGAUGGAAGAUAGAGGUGGAUGAGAAUUGAGAUAAGCAAAGCAGACUGAUGAAAAGAAGGAAAUGAAGAUUAAACACAGGCUGCCAUACGCACUGCUUCUGGCCAUUGUUGCUGAUGAAUUUCAAAACCAAAGCCUAUUCCUACCUGUAGGACAUUUCCAAGUCUGGAAAGCACUCCUCUAAGAAAUUCAUGGCACUGGAGAAGCCUGCUCUUUGCCAGAAGUUAGUGCAAAAUGGGAAGAAAUACAAACUGAUGAGUGAGCCAGAAGCCAAAGUUACCCCAGAGGAGAGAGAAGCCCCCAGCUCCUGGAACUGAAGUGCCAGCUCCGGUUCCACAGGCCCCCGCAGUGCGGAUCCCUGGAGCUCGGUGGGGUGGUGCAGCGAGUGUGAGACCACUUCAGAUGUAGGUUAUAUGUGUACAGAUGAAUUUGGUAACCAUGAAUAUUGACACAGAACCUGUGCUGUGUGCCAGUCAUACCGUGAUGCCUGUCUUUCCAAGGUGUGUGGACCUGUGUGGCCAUAUAUAAACCAUUUCAAAAGGCAGCGCAGUGGUAACUGGACACGGAAUGGGCUUCAGCACACUCUUCUGUCCUCCCGUCUGCGGAAUCCUGAUUCCCGCUGGUCUCCCCCACGGACGGUCAUCCACCACCCAGGCUGCUGGGUCAGCCUUCCUGGAGGCACACCUGGCUCAGAAAGAUUAAGGACUUCUAACCUUUCUGCAGAUGACACCAUAGUAUCUAAAUCAAUAAAUCAAUAAAUAUUUACU